GUAGGUGAACCUGCGGAAGGAUCAUUACCGAUUUUUAGCGGACCUGAUCUUUGAUCAUGGUCUCGCGAAAACUUGUAUUUAAAACCCCACUCUUAUAAAUUGAAUCAUUUUAUAUUAUGUAUAUAAUAAAUAAAAGAUCACUUUCAACAACGGAUCUCUUGGCUCUC
This 167-nucleotide unclassified non-coding RNA is filed under the name rhizosphere metagenome. RNAcentral's name for it is "partial ribosomal RNA internal transcribed spacer region". The record is from RNAcentral.